UUAAGCCCCUUUCACACUGCCAUUCCGGCAAAUACAGGGGUAAAGUGUUCCUGUAAUUGUUCCCUGGUCGCUAGAUUUGGCACUUUCACACUGCCAGUGAUGACCCAGUAUAUGUGCGUGCUUUCACACACAACCCUUGAAGAUCCCGUAACGACACGUGACAUCAGCGCGUGACGUGUAAUGUACGAGUCGACAACGCUUGGCACGUUAUACUUUCACUGAAGCAAGCAAACGGUCUCAGCGUCAGCACGGAAAGUGAGGAACUAACUGAUCUCUGCUUCAUUACAGUUUGCACAUGUGUUUUCGUCGCAAACGUUGAUCUUCCUUCAAAACAGCCGGCAAAAGAGUCGCGCGAUAACGCGCGUCAUCACUUCGAUACGGAAUUAGAUCUGGCUUUUGUUCACACAACGCUCUUCCCGGGUCGAACCCCGCAAUGUUACUAGGUCCCCGACCCGGGUUCAAUUCGGUAAUCAAUUCCGGGACGUGGUUGCUUUCACACAGAAGGCGACCCGGCAAUGUUCCGGAAAUAUUGCGGGUCCGACGUGCAGUGUGAAAGAGGCUUUAGAUACUCGUUUCUCAGGACCAGAAAACCUGAGCUCUUUGCAGCCGCUGUUAUCAGUGAUGUGGCUAGAGCCAGAUCCUGGAUCUUUAUGCAAAUGGAGAACUGGAACCUCUUUUUUUGUUUGUUUUAAGUUCCCAAAUUACAUUAUGGUCACUAGGCAGUCCUAACAACCCGGCAACAUACAGAUCCAACCUCUGGCUUCCCAGAAUACAGUUUUAUUGCUCACAGGAUGCUUUUUCAUAUCUUAGGGGGCUAGAGCUCAUUAAAUAUCAAAUUUGUUUCAGAUUUUUCUCAUUAAAUUGCUUAUGAGAGAAAAAUAUACCGGUACACAAACAAGGUAAUUGUUAAUAAAAGAAUAGAGCUCUGGAAUUAAUGUGGAUAGCAAAGUAUUUGGUCUUGGGGGGAAAAUAAAUGUUUUGUGCUCAUCAGGAAGCUAUUAGUAUUGUAACUAAUUAUAUUUCAUUAAAAAUAAAACUUGUUUUAAAGACUAUGCUGCCUGUUUGACAGAACACAUCCAGUUCGGCUGGCACACAACAUCAGAGCAGAAAUGAGGUGAACUGUCAAAGCAGAACUACUGAUCUAAUUUGUGGAACCGUAGAAAAUGUAGAUAAUGCAGGAACAAGUAGCAAGGAUCAUCAGCGGCGCCAGUUUGAAUCCUUUGAACAAAGGCGAAGACAGAAAAUUGCUGAAAGGAGGGCACAUCUAUGUCAAAUUGUUGAGGCUUUGCAAUACAGUUUCAGUACCCUGAUGGCACCAGGAAAACAAGGAAAUUUGUUGAGUCUCAACCAAUUCAGGAUCUGUUUGCCUUUACUGGUUCAGACGACAUGGCCAGUGAAGUAUUCCGUGUACAGCUGUCCUGGUCACCGAACACUAUACUUAGUACUGUUGAUGGUAGCCUCUCAGAUCAUGAAAUUAGUAGGCCCUCAACCUUAUAUGUGCUUUGGAUGUCAGGUGUUCAAAUAGAGGAAUUAAUUGCAUCCAGUGUUGAAUCUUCAACUGACCAACUGGCUGCUACUCAGGACUUAGGAAGCAUCCCAAGUCCCCUCCAUUCCAGUGAUCAGGAUGUUGGCUUCUCCUUUCCCUAUGCCCUGUUCCAGCUUUCUCACCACCAAUUGACAAUUCUUCGCCCUCGUCACCGCCAUGGUCUUUGAUUUCUCUUUUCCCUUUACUAUUGCCACAUCUCCUAGCCCAGUGGUCUUCAAACCUGGUCCUGGGAACCUGCCGCUCUGUACAUUUUGUCUGUAUUUUAUAUUUUACAUAUUUGAUUCAAAUCAGCUUGUUAAGUGGAAGCUCCAUUAACUGAACAAACUGGUCAGAUAAGAGAUAAAUACAACAUUUCCAGAGCUGUGGGAUUGAAACCGAUUGUUCUUGUUUGUAAAAUGUAAGAUUACGCACAGAUUUACUAACAGCUUGCUCCAGCGCAAACCAUCUUUUGGGGUCACAAAAGUACUGUCAGGAUUUACCAAAGACACGCAGUGAAAAAAGAAUCAAUUUAUUUGUAUUUGUGCCAUUAUUUACAGGCCAAAAAAAAAACGUGACUCAUUUUGCACCUGUUUUGUCACACAUACAUGAUUAUCAGUGGCUUUGAUGUGGUGUGUUCAAUAGAUCAUUGCUUUCCACUACCAAUGGCACUUUUAUGGAUUUGUGCUCUGUUAAGUAAAUUUUGUUGCCCUGUUAAGUAAAUCUGGCCCUAAGUUUAAUACAGUUUGUUGUGUGGAAUUGGGUCUAGACUAAGUUAUGCAAUUAAUGUAGUUAUACUAAGUUAUGCUUUUUUUUUUACUUUACAGUGAAGUUUAUGCAUUAGAUUCUGAAGAUGAGGAGGAUGUGGUGAUGUUGACCUCACCUGUUUAUUCUGACAAUGAAAUUGAUGAUGACGUUUCUGCUGCUGACAUCAUCAGAACAUUUCAGAGGGAAAAUCUAAAUUUGGAAGAAAGGGUUGAUUGUAGUGGCCAGAAGGAGGAAAAUUCUUCAUAGUGCAUGUACUGCACUGAAAACUAGCUACUUUGCAUGGCACAAAUCCCCACAAAUUGAAUUUGUAGGUGAAAGUGCUGAUGACUAUGGGGGACCUAGCAGAGAAUUUUUCAGGCUUCUGAUGCAGGGUGUGCAGUCAUCAUUCGGAGUUUUUGAGGGGAAAACAGGCCAGAUGUUUUUCACGUAUGACCAAGUGGCUGUGGAAACAAAGCGUUAUUACACAGCAGGAAAGCUCAUUUCUUGGUCUCUAAUGCACGGUGGACCUAGUUUCAAUGCACUAAAUACCACAUUGUACAAAUUAAUGUGUGGCCAGGCAGAUUCUGCCGAAGAAUUGUAAUGGAGUUUCUUUCUUUUAAGGUUUUUUUUUGUCAGACCCAAGAAGACAAUGACCGAAUAGUGUCAAGCCUGGGAGACUGGAUUGCUGACUGUGGUGUGCCUGGAAUUUUUUUAGUGCAGCACCUAAUAUGAGACGGAUCUAUGGUCAGCUAAUCAAACACCACAUUUACUUCAGUUUGGAAAUCUCUUGGAACAUAUUUAUUUUAGAACAGCAGACAUGAUCGCCCAAUUCAAGGAAGGCAUGAACUCCUGUGGCAACUUGUGGCAGAUUGUCGAAAAAAACUGGAAGGUCUUCCUUCCCUUGUUCACGAAUGAGGAGAAACAAUUAACAAGAGAAGAAUUUAGAGCCCUAUUCACCAUUUGCUGGAGUGAGGAGGGAAGCAACCUCAGGGAAAAGGAGGAAGACACCAUAUUUUGCUGGGAGCUCCUGCUGAAUUCAAUUAAGGAAAAACAAUCAACAAUCACCUUCCAGGAGAUGCUGGUAUUUAUUACUGGUGCAGACAGCAUUCCCCCACUGGGCUUCCCCGGAGAACCGAGAAUUGAGUUUUACACUCAACAAAAUCGCCGGCUUCCAUUUGCAUCAACUUGUGGCAUGGUGCUCUUUUUGCCUCGAGGCAUCCAAGAAGAGGAGGAGUUGACUGACCUGCUUAGCACAGCACUCAAAGGUUACCUUGGAUUUGGAAAAAUUUAAUUUAGUUACUUUCGUCAAAUGUUAAUUAAAGGGAUAGUUGACCCUUAAAAUAAUUUUCUGUCAUUAAUUACUCACCCUCAUGUUGUUCCAAACCCACCCAUAAACGUUUUGUGAACCCAUAAACAAAUUAAGAUAUUUUUAAUGAAAUCUGAGAGCUUUCUGUCCCUUCAUUACAUCUAUGUAACUACCAAUGUCAUGCAUGAAAAAGUUCAUAAAUAAAUCGUAAAACGAAUCCAUAUGAAUUGAGUUCUUUAGUCAAAAUUUUCUGAAGAGACACAAUCUCUUUAUAUGAUGAACAGAUUGAAUUUAGGCUUUUAUUCACAUAUAAACAUUCAUCAACUCACACAUCAGUUGUAAACAAAAGCUCAAGCUUGUUAGCACAUUGUGCGAGAACCAAUGAGGUUCCUUCAAACAUGCUUGAGCUUACGUUUAUCAUAAAUUAUGUGUGUUGAUGAAUAUUUAUAUGUGAAUACAAGGCUAAAUUCAAUCUGUUCAUCACAUAAAGCGAUCGUGUUUUUUUGAAGAAUAUUUUGGAAUAAAACGCUUAAUUCAUAUGGAUUAGUUUUACAAUCUAUCUAUGAAGCUUCAAAGUGGUAGUUGCGUAGCUGUCAAUGGAGGGGCAGAAAGUUCUCAGAUUUCAUCAAAAAUAUCUUCAUUUGUGUUUUGAAGAUGAACAAAGGUCUUACGGGUUUGGAACAACAUGAGGGUGAGUAAUUACUGACAGAAUUUACAUUUUUGGGCGAAAUAUGUCAUUAAGUUCAGUGAAAAUGUUUUUUUCAAAAACUUUAUUUUUCUUGAAUGUUAACAAUGCAGAUGCAUAAAACACAGUUUAGAAAUACACAAUUAAAAGAGAACACUUCCAAUGGAAAAGUGGAUUUUGUACAGUUUCAACAGUUGGUGAUCUUGCAUAAUUAAUUAAAAGACUUUGAAUUUGUUUGUUUUACUCUGAAAAUAAACAUUCCAAAAAUAAGAGGAAAUGUUGCAUCAUCUGUUUUAUUUCAUUACACUAUUGCAGAAUCCAAAUAAGAAAUGAUAUUUUCAGUCCUUGGUCAUGUAUUUCGAGACAAAUAUAUAGACUGUAGUUCAGUUAUAUUUUAAAAAUGAGUGCAGCAUUGUUUCUCAAAAUCAUUGUGAAAUGCAAAGAUCUAAAUAUAAUGUUGUAAAUAAAAAUACUUAAGAAAUCUAGGUUUAUAUGAGUAGAGCACCCAAAAUUAAUACUUGGUCAAUACUUGCUCAAUCUUAAAAAGAAUGACUGGUGUAGAAAGAAAUUAUGAAAUGAUCUGUAUUGGUGGCCAAAAGUAAAAAAAAAAAAAAAGAUCUUAAUGAUCAAGGCUGCAUUAAUAUAAUAAAUAUUAAUAAUCAGCAAAAACAGUAAUAUUGUAAAAAUAUAA
Molecule: long non-coding RNA, 4951 nt
Organism: Carassius gibelio (silver crucian carp)
Lineage: Eukaryota; Metazoa; Chordata; Actinopteri; Cypriniformes; Cyprinidae
Exons: 10
Source: RefSeq, a predicted model, not a curated record